CCUACGGGUGGCAGCAGUGGGGAAUAUUGCACAAUGGGGGGAACCCUGAUGCAGCGACGCCGCGUGAGUGAGGAAGUACUUCGGUAUGUAAAGCUCUAUCAGCAGGGAAGAAAAUGACGGUACCUGAGUAAGAAGCCCCGGCUAACUACGUGCCAGCAGCCGCGGUAAUACGUAGGGGGCAAGCGUUAUCCGGAUUUACUGGGUGUAAAGGGAGCGUAGACGGGAGGGCAAGUCUGGAGUGAAAGGCGGGGGCUCAACCCCCGGAGUGCUCUGGAAACUGUACGGCUGGAGUGCAGGAGAGGUAAGUGGAAUGCGUGGUGUAGCGGUGAAAUGCGUAGAUAUCAGGAGGAACACCAGUGGCGAAGGCGGCUUACCGGACUGCAACUGACGUUGAGGCUCGAAAGCGUGGGUAGCAAACAGGAUUAGAUACCCUGGUAGUC
Molecule: ribosomal RNA, 440 nt
Filed under: uncultured bacterium
Lineage: Bacteria
Description: partial 16S ribosomal RNA
Rfam family: Bacterial small subunit ribosomal RNA
Source: RNAcentral